ACGGAAGGCAGCAGUGGGGAAUAUUGCACAAUGGGGGAAACCCUGAUGCAGCGACGCCGCGUGAAGGAAGACGGUCUUCGGAUUGUAAACUUUUGUUCUUAGUGAAGAUAAUGACGGUAGCUAAGGAGAAAGCCACGGCUAACUACGUGCCAGCAGCCGCGGUAAUACGUAGGUGGCAAGCGUUGUCCGGAAUUACUGGGUGUAAAGGGAGCGCAGGCGGGAAAUCAAGUUGGAUGUGAAAUGUCGGGGCUUAACCCCGGAACUGCAUCCAAAACUGAUUUUCUUGAGUGAAGUAGAGGUAGGCGGAAUUCCGAGUGUAGCGGUGAAAUGCGUAGAUAUUCGGAGGAACACCAGUGGCGAAGGCGGCUUGCUGGGCUUUAACUGACGCUGAGGCUCGAAAGUGUGGGGAGCAAACAGGAUUAGAUACCCUGGUA
RNAcentral lists this ribosomal RNA (434 nucleotides) under uncultured Oscillospiraceae bacterium. RNAcentral describes it as "bacterial SSU rRNA". It matches the Rfam family "Bacterial small subunit ribosomal RNA", at positions 341 to 792 of the family's 1533-position model. The record is from RNAcentral. Lineage: Bacteria; Bacillati; Bacillota; Clostridia; Eubacteriales; Oscillospiraceae.